Molecule: ribosomal RNA, 572 nt
Filed under: uncultured Glomeromycotina
Lineage: Eukaryota; Fungi; Glomeromycota
Description: SSU rRNA
Rfam family: Eukaryotic small subunit ribosomal RNA
Source: RNAcentral
UUGGAGGGCAAGUCUGGUGCCAGCAGCCGCGGUAAUUCCAGCUCCAAUAGCGUAUAUUAAAGUUGUUGCUGUUAAAAAGCUCGUAGUUGAAUUUCGGGAUUGACGUAAUGGUCGUGCCUUAAGGGGUAUGAACUGUUACUGUUGAUUUCUCACCUUCUGGAGAAACUUGAUGUCCUUAAUUGGGUGUCUUGCGGAUCCAGGACCUUUACCUUGAAAAAAUUAGAGUGUUUAAAGCAGGCAUUUUUGCUCGAAUACAUUAGCAUAGAAUAAUAGAAUAGGACGGCAUGGUUCUAUUUUGUUGGUUUCUAGGAUCACCGUAAUGAUUAAUAGGGAUAGUUGGGGGCAUUAGUAUUCAAUUGUCAGAGGUGAAAUUCUUGGAUUUAUUGAAGACUAACUACUGCGAAAGCAUUUGCCAAGGAUGUUUUCAUUAAUCAAGAACGAAAGUUAGGGGAUCGAAGACGAUCAGAUACCGUCGUAGUCUUAACCAUAAACUAUGCCGACUAGGAAUCAGACGAUGUUAAUUUUUUAAUGACUCGUUUGGCACCUUACGGGAAACCAAAGUGUUUGGGUUC